This 795-nucleotide long non-coding RNA is filed under the name Hordeum vulgare. Its description in RNAcentral is "long non-coding RNA (HVUL_LNC014277)". Lineage: Eukaryota; Viridiplantae; Streptophyta; Magnoliopsida; Poales; Poaceae. The record is from RNAcentral.
AGAAAAUUUACUAGACUGGACGGCGAAGACGCGGGUGCAAUGGCCGACAACGAGCAGGAGCUUCUAGCGGUAGCGGUGGCGGAGCCGGCGGAGUGCAGCAGGUGGGUGAUGAUUUGCCUUUUGGGCUGCGUAGCUGCCAUGGUUUUCAGCAUCUCCAUCUUCAUGUUGAACAACACCAACGAGGUGGACUUGGAGCUCCUCGCCGCGUUAGUGUUGCUCCUCGUGGGGUUCUGCCCUUGCGGACUCUGCCUUAUUCUGCUCGGGGAGCAGUAUAGGGGCAACCCAGGGGGGCAAAGGGCUAUAGUAGAUGCCUUGUUUUUGCUCUAACCGACCAAUCAAUCCAUCUAUCUGUACUUCUACCUAGUCUAGUUCUCCUUAAUUACAGUUAUUUAGGUACAGAGGAAGUAGCAUUUAGUAGUUCACCAGAUUGAUCCAGGUGUAGUACUUAUGUAGGUAUGUAUCUCUUGUUUGAAAGCAUACUAAAUGGUACUUCAUGCGUAUAGAUAGUCAUGUCAUCAACCAACAGUAGGCCGUGUGCUGUGUGAUUUACCAUCAGUGUGCCGAUGUGACAUUGUAACUACACAUGGUAACCAGGCCUUAGUUUGCUUCUAUUAUGAGGAGGGAAUAAUUGGGAAUAGUUUGAUCUGUGGAGGUUGAUGUUGGUUUGCAAACUGAGUUGUUCUUUGCGUAAUUCCAUCUUUUUUUUCAAAAAUAAAAUAUAUUAGUAUCGCGAAGAUAUUGAUUACAUACAAUCUCUACAUCAACAAGAUGUCGCACGGGCUAUUUUCAACCGGU